UACGUAGGGGGCAAGCGUUGUCCGGAAUUACUGGGCGUAAAGCGCCUGUAGGCGGGAACGUGCGUCGGACGUGAAAGGCGGGGGCUUAACCCCCGAGCGGCGUUCGAAACGGCGUUUCUUGAGGGUCGAAGAGGAGCGUGGAAUUCCCGGUGUAGCGGUGAAAUGCGUAGAGAUCGGGAGGAACACCCAUGGCGAAGGCAG
This 201-nucleotide ribosomal RNA is filed under the name uncultured prokaryote. Its description in RNAcentral is "partial 16S ribosomal RNA". It matches the Rfam family "Bacterial small subunit ribosomal RNA", at positions 524 to 724 of the family's 1533-position model. The record is from RNAcentral.